UUAUCAGCAUCCUCUUGGGAGCUGAAUUUACAGAUGGAGCUGUUAGCUGACUUUCAUCGCUUGAGAGAUCAUCUUUCCUUUACCUUACAGAAUCCCAUCCAGGAUAGCCACAUGGUAUCUCUUUAGACUUCUUCAAUGUGAAAUUUUCUCAGAGUUUGCUUUGAAGAGAUAUCACCGAUGAUGUUUCCACAGAGGUUUCUUGUAAGUAGGACUUCUUAUGAAAUUGCUGUUCCAAGGCAUAUACCCGGCUGACACACUUUUAGAGCAGUAUGGAUGAGAGAACAGCAAGUGAAUGAAGUGAAAGGAAAAAUGAAAGUUAUGAACCAUAUUUUCUUGGAGAGAAGUUUUGGAGGCAAACUAUGUGAUGUGCAAAAUAAAUGAAUUCCAGCA
Long non-coding RNA from Talpa occidentalis (Iberian mole), 390 nucleotides. RefSeq lists it as uncharacterized. NCBI's taxonomy places the organism in Eukaryota, Metazoa, Chordata, Mammalia, Eulipotyphla, Talpidae. The transcript has 4 exons. The record is from RefSeq and is a predicted model, not a curated record.